GGGUCCCGGGCGGGCCGCGCCCCGAGCUGGGCUUGGCAGAGACCUCGCCCAAGUUCACGCCGGCCCGUUCUGGACUGUGCUCUGGAAGAGGUGGUGCUGGAAUCCCCUACCCCUACUGGAGCUGGACCGUCUGGGGACGGGACCUUGUAGAUGUGGCAGCCCCUGGCUUCAGUGAGCUGGGAGGCCCCGGGCAGCAAUUCCACUUCUGCCAGAAGUGGGUGUGUCUUCCCAUUGUGGGGAGGAAGAUGGGCUCAGAGAAACCUUGUGAUUUAUUUUUGUAGUUCAGUGCUGAUUUUAGUGGCUUUCUAUUGUGACCUUGCAGUAACUCAUUUCAUAUUUCACCCAUGUGGUGGAUGAGAAAGCAGUGGCCUGGGAGGUGGCCACCCCAGGGAGUGUGGCAAAGGUGGGACAGCCCAGGCAGGGCCUGCUGCGUCUGUCCUUCCUUUGUGUUCCUCUGCACCGGCUCAGCCUUCAGGGAUUCUCCCUGGACUCCAGGCCACCUCCGCCCUACCCGGUGCCCAGCACUCACCCCGUGCUGGCACCUCUAACCACCUCCCAGUUGGCUGGUUUCUUGUUGGGCAGACAGCAGGGAACUUGGUAAUGAGAUGCCACCUCCAGCCUUUGCCUCUUGGUGAGUGCCUUUCCUUCUUCCACCCCGUGCAACGGCUCAAUAGGGAAGACACUGGAGGAGCUGGGAGACAAAGUGAAGCCUGGCGUUGAAGAGUAAGUCCAUUGUUAACUCCCAGCUGGGGCAGUCACUCUGCCUUUGCAACUCUCCUGUAAAUCUUCAGUUUUUCCUCAAUAAAAUAAGUUUUUGAAAACCCAGGAA
Molecule: non-coding RNA, 829 nt
Organism: Ictidomys tridecemlineatus (thirteen-lined ground squirrel)
Lineage: Eukaryota; Metazoa; Chordata; Mammalia; Rodentia; Sciuridae
Source: RefSeq, a predicted model, not a curated record